GAUGAACGCUGGCGGCGUGCCUAAUACAUGCAAGUCGAGCGAACAGACGAGGAUCUUGCUCCUCUGACGUUAGCGGCGGACGGGUGAGUAACACGUGGAUAACCUACCUAUAAGACUGGGAUAACUUCGGGAAACCGGAUCUAAUACCGGAUAACAUGUUGAACCGCAUGGUUCAACAGUGAAAGACGGUCUUGCUGUCACUUAUAGAUGGAUCCGCGCUGCAUUAGCUAGUUGGUAAGGUAACGGCUUACCAAGGCAACGAUGCGUAGCCGACCUGAGAGGGUGAUCGGCCACACUGGAACUGAGACACGGUCCAGACUCCUACGGGAGGCAGCAGUAGGGAAUCUUACGCAAUGGGCGAAAUCCUGACGGAGCAACGCCGCGUGAGUGAAGAAGGUCUUCGGAUCGUAAAACUCUGUUAUUAGGGAAGAACAAAUGUGUAAGUAACUAUGCACGUCUUGACGGUACCUGAUCAGAAAGCCACGGCUAACUACGUG
Molecule: ribosomal RNA, 497 nt
Filed under: uncultured bacterium
Lineage: Bacteria
Description: partial 16S ribosomal RNA
Rfam family: Bacterial small subunit ribosomal RNA
Source: RNAcentral